RNAcentral lists this ribosomal RNA (2401 nucleotides) under Escherichia coli. RNAcentral describes it as "partial 23S ribosomal RNA". It matches the Rfam family "Bacterial large subunit ribosomal RNA", at positions 222 to 2648 of the family's 2925-position model. Lineage: Bacteria; Pseudomonadati; Pseudomonadota; Gammaproteobacteria; Enterobacterales; Enterobacteriaceae. The record is from RNAcentral.
AAAUCAACCGAGAUUCCCCCAGUAGCGGCGAGCGAACGGGGAGCAGCCCAGAGCCUGAAUCAGUGUGUGUGUUAGUGGAAGCGUCUGGAAAGGCGCGCGAUACAGGGUGACAGCCCCGUACACAAAAAUGCACAUGCUGUGAGCUCGAUGAGUAGGGCGGGACACGUGGUAUCCUGUCUGAAUAUGGGGGGACCAUCCUCCAAGGCUAAAUACUCCUGACUGACCGAUAGUGAACCAGUACCGUGAGGGAAAGGCGAAAAGAACCCCGGCGAGGGGAGUGAAAAAGAACCUGAAACCGUGUACGUACAAGCAGUGGGAGCACGCUUAGGCGUGUGACUGCGUACCUUUUGUAUAAUGGGUCAGCGACUUAUAUUCUGUAGCAAGGUUAACCGAAUAGGGGAGCCGAAGGGAAACCGAGUCUUAACUGGGCGUUAAGUUGCAGGGUAUAGACCCGAAACCCGGUGAUCUAGCCAUGGGCAGGUUGAAGGUUGGGUAACACUAACUGGAGGACCGAACCGACUAAUGUUGAAAAAUUAGCGGAUGACUUGUGGCUGGGGGUGAAAGGCCAAUCAAACCGGGAGAUAGCUGGUUCUCCCCGAAAGCUAUUUAGGUAGCGCCUCGUGAAUUCAUCUCCGGGGGUAGAGCACUGUUUCGGCAAGGGGGUCAUCCCGACUUACCAACCCGAUGCAAACUGCGAAUACCGGAGAAUGUUAUCACGGGAGACACACGGCGGGUGCUAACGUCCGUCGUGAAGAGGGAAACAACCCAGACCGCCAGCUAAGGUCCCAAAGUCAUGGUUAAGUGGGAAACGAUGUGGGAAGGCCCAGACAGCCAGGAUGUUGGCUUAGAAGCAGCCAUCAUUUAAAGAAAGCGUAAUAGCUCACUGGUCGAGUCGGCCUGCGCGGAAGAUGUAACGGGGCUAAACCAUGCACCGAAGCUGCGGCAGCGACACUAUGUGUUGUUGGGUAGGGGAGCGUUCUGUAAGCCUGUGAAGGUGUACUGUGAGGUAUGCUGGAGGUAUCAGAAGUGCGAAUGCUGACAUAAGUAACGAUAAAGCGGGUGAAAAGCCCGCUCGCCGGAAGACCAAGGGUUCCUGUCCAACGUUAAUCGGGGCAGGGUGAGUCGACCCCUAAGGCGAGGCCGAAAGGCGUAGUCGAUGGGAAACAGGUUAAUAUUCCUGUACUUGGUGUUACUGCGAAGGGGGGACGGAGAAGGCUAUGUUGGCCGGGCGACGGUUGUCCCGGUUUAAGCGUGUAGGCUGGUUUUCCAGGCAAAUCCGGAAAAUCAAGGCUGAGGCGUGAUGACGAGGCACUACGGUGCUGAAGCAACAAAUGCCCUGCUUCCAGGAAAAGCCUCUAAGCAUCAGGUAACAUCAAAUCGUACCCCAAACCGACACAGGUGGUCAGGUAGAGAAUACCAAGGCGCUUGAGAGAACUCGGGUGAAGGAACUAGGCAAAAUGGUGCCGUAACUUCGGGAGAAGGCACGCUGAUAUGUAGGUGAAGUCCCUCGCGGAUGGAGCUGAAAUCAGUCGAAGAUACCAGCUGGCUGCAACUGUUUAUUAAAAACACAGCACUGUGCAAACACGAAAGUGGACGUAUACGGUGUGACGCCUGCCCGGUGCCGGAAGGUUAAUUGAUGGGGUCAGCGCAAGCGAAGCUCUUGAUCGAAGCCCCGGUAAACGGCGGCCGUAACUAUAACGGUCCUAAGGUAGCGAAAUUCCUUGUCGGGUAAGUUCCGACCUGCACGAAUGGCGUAAUGAUGGCCAGGCUGUCUCCACCCGAGACUCAGUGAAAUUGAACUCGCUGUGAAGAUGCAGUGUACCCGCGGCAAGACGGAAAGACCCCGUGAACCUUUACUAUAGCUUGACACUGAACAUUGAGCCUUGAUGUGUAGGAUAGGUGGGAGGCUUUGAAGUGUGGACGCCAGUCUGCAUGGAGCCGACCUUGAAAUACCACCCUUUAAUGUUUGAUGUUCUAACGUGGACCCGUAAUCCGGGUUGCGGACAGUGUCUGGUGGGUAGUUUGACUGGGGCGGUCUCCUCCUAAAGAGUAACGGAGGAGCACGAAGGUUGGCUAAUCCUGGUCGGACAUCAGGAGGUUAGUGCAAUGGCAUAAGCCAGCUUGACUGCGAGCGUGACGGCGCGAGCAGGUGCGAAAGCAGGUCAUAGUGAUCCGGUGGUUCUGAAUGGAAGGGCCAUCGCUCAACGGAUAAAAGGUACUCCGGGGAUAACAGGCUGAUACCGCCCAAGAGUUCAUAUCGACGGCGGUGUUUGGCACCUCGAUGUCGGCUCAUCACAUCCUGGGGCUGAAGUAGGUCCCAAGGGUAUGGCUGUUCGCCAUUUAAAGUGGUACGCGAGCUGGGUUUAGAACGUCGUGAGACAGUUCGGUCCCUAUCUGCCGU